CCUAUGACGCCUUUUAAAGGAUAAAAAAAAAAAAAAAGCAACCUUUAACGGAGUACUCUGACUCUAAAUAAAAUAUUAAAAGAUGCAAGCAGGUAAGAAAUACGGUUGGGUUGCCUUACAGAGCUCUGUAACCCGUCUUUUGCCACAAUAAUGAAUCCAAUUAUAUAAAUCAUCUAGAAGAUUUUAUUGUAGAGCCGAGAAUGUGACACAACUCAAUGGCCACAACCACACCACGCAGGGAAUAUAGCCCAUGGUAUCUGGGGGUUGUAACGAGGUUGUAUGGUGACAGAUCAUAGCUAUGCUUGUGGUGGGCAGGACGUAAGGUAUAGGGGAGGUCAAUCACCGUGUUGCACACCUGAAACUAAUGUGACAUUGUGUGUCAACUAUACUGAAGUUUUUUUAAUAAAAAAAAUGGACACUACGUAAGUUUGAAAAUACGUUCACCUUUAUGAAAUUUUCUAAAUUAUCUGUAGUACACAUUCUGUACUAAGUUUUUAAUAGGGUCAGAAGAGAGACAUUCAGAAAUUUGUUCGGGAACCAUCAAAAAACCAAAGAAUGUUAGAAAAAUACAAAUUAUUUGUAAAGUGCCAAAGUUUCAUAUUUUAACAAACUGAAAAAGGUAAACAAAAAAUAAUACAACCUCAGAAAAUAUGUGUGGUUGAUUAGGAGAACUGCAGAAAGACAAUCAUAGAUUGUUUGGUUAUAUUAGAAAGCAGAUGAUGGAAGACAGCCCUGGUUUGGAUGGGACAGAGCAGCACAGAGACGUUAGCUCCUUCCUUAAUAAUUUUAACUCUGGCUCUUACUGAAAGACAGUCAUGAGGAUACCCCAGUCUGUGAAACUGACUCUUAUAAGUCAAUGCAGAUAGCACAUGUCGCCUUGAGCAUUACAACGGGUCAGGUCAGACAGACGUGGCUUUGGAUCCCAGCUCAAUGAUCGCUCCACUCUGAGACAGCCAUGUCCCGGGCAAACUGAAACGCUUGCCAUCACGUUACCAAGCACAAGCGGAGAGACAAAACUGGUUGAGCAAAUGCUGUGUGAAGACUGAAGCAGAACUGUCUGGACUUUUCUGAAGAUGGAAGCAUAGUCUUAAAACUAUCUUGCCUGUAACAGUUGACAAGAAAGUAGGAUCUUAGCGUAAAGUCCAGGCCCCUGGAACUGAGACACCCAUGGACGUGAUGGCUUGGACUAGAGACAGCGUUAACAGUCCCGGCAUAUAGGAUGGCUCCACCGUCUUCAACAUGGGGCGUCCAUCUCUGGGUCUCGAGUGGCCACUCCCUGCCACCAGCAGGACAGAGGAGGAGAGUACCCAGCUCUAGAAUGGGCAGCCGUCCCUUCUGCCCCUUGGGCCACACCAGGCAGCAAAGUGAGCCUAAAAUGUAUCCUUGCACAGGGCGAUAUAUACCCAGCUUCGAUGCUAUUACUGCAUGCAAAGGUAGCAAUUACAGAUCGUCAGGAACCCAAUCAGCCUUACACUCUUUGGAUUUUUUACUCUUAAACCAAAAUUUCUGUGAAUCCUGAGAGACAUUCACAGCUCUAAAACGUGGUAGGUUUCACAAGAAACGGCUGGAAGACUUUUGUCAACGUGAGCUACCUGGAAACAAUUGCGGUUCUAUCUUCAGCAGUAAAAAGGCAGUGCAAAAGAUAGCAUAGGACAUUGUGUGUGCGGCCACAGCCACGUUGAGUCUAUGCAGAUCUGCUCACACAGCGACGCAGAGAGCUUGCAAUCUGCACGUUCACAAUAUACAACUAUGGGAAAGUGCUUCACAAUGGUGUGUGCUCAUAGAUAGCAGUAAGAAAGUGAUAGAAAAAAAUAUAUGUAAUUGUCUUCAACUUCAGGUAUUUGUGUAAUUUUUAAUACAAAGCUCUCUAAGUAUUACAUAGGCAUUUUGAGUAUCUGUUUCUUUAAGGCACAAAACAAUGGUCACAGUACAUUUCAAGAGGGGUGCAACGUUUCACUCAUGCUUUAGUCCCAAAAUAAAAAUCAAAACAAUA
Long non-coding RNA from Lutra lutra (Eurasian river otter), 1993 nucleotides. RefSeq lists it as uncharacterized. The transcript is spliced from 2 exons. NCBI's taxonomy places the organism in Eukaryota, Metazoa, Chordata, Mammalia, Carnivora, Mustelidae. The record is from RefSeq and is a predicted model, not a curated record.